GACGAACGCUGGCGGCGUGCCUAAUACAUGCAAGUAGAACGCUGAAGGAGGAGCUUGCUUCUCCGGAUGAGUUGCGAACGGGUGAGUAACGCGUAGGUAACCUGCCUGGUAGCGGGGGAUAACUAUUGGAAACGAUAGCUAAUACCGCAUAACAGUAGAUGUUGCAUGACAUUUGCUUGAAAGGUGCAAUUGCAUCACUACCAGAUGGACCUGCGUUGUAUUAGCUAGUUGGUGAGGUAACGGCUCACCAAGGCGACGAUACAUAGCCGACCUGAGAGGGUGAUCGGCCACACUGGGACUGAGACACGGCCCAGACUCCUACGGGAGGCAGCAGUAGGGAAUCUUCGGCAAUGGACGGAAGUCUGACCGAGCAACGCCGCGUGAGUGAAGAAGGUUUUCGGAUCGUAAAGCUCUGUUGUAAGAGAAGAACGAGUGUGAGAGUGGAAAGUUCACACUGUGACGGUAUCUUACCAGAAAGGGACGGCUAACUACGUG
This 495-nucleotide ribosomal RNA is filed under the name uncultured bacterium. RNAcentral's name for it is "partial 16S ribosomal RNA". It matches the Rfam family "Bacterial small subunit ribosomal RNA", at positions 28 to 507 of the family's 1533-position model. The record is from RNAcentral.